AUUGAACGCUGGCGGCAUGCCUUACACAUGCAAGUCGAACGGCAGCACGGGUGCUUGCACCUGGUGGCGAGUGGCGAACGGGUGAGUAAUAUAUCGGAACGUACCGUAUUGUGGGGGAUAACGCAGCGAAAGCUGUGCUAAUAACGCAUAAUCCCAAAGGGGGAAAGCGGGGGACCGUAAGGCCUAGCGCAAUUAGAGCGGCCGAUACCUGAGUAGCUUGUUGGUGAGGUAAAGGCUCACCAAGGCAACGAUCAGUAGCUGGUCUGAGAGGACAAUCAGCCACACUGGGACUGAGACACGGCCCAGACUCCUACGGGAGGCAGCAGUGGGGAAUUUUGGACAAUGGGGGCAACCCUGAUCCAGCAAUGCCGCGUGAGUGAAGAAGGCCUUCGGGUUGUAAAGCUCUUUUGUCAGGGAAGAAACAGCAGCUCUAACACAGUAUGCGAAUGACGGUACCUGAAGAAUAAGCACCGGCUAACUACGUGCCAGCCGCCGCAGUAA
Molecule: ribosomal RNA, 501 nt
Filed under: uncultured bacterium
Lineage: Bacteria
Description: partial 16S ribosomal RNA
Rfam family: Bacterial small subunit ribosomal RNA
Source: RNAcentral